Molecule: transfer RNA, 91 nt
Filed under: Achromobacter veterisilvae
Lineage: Bacteria; Pseudomonadati; Pseudomonadota; Betaproteobacteria; Burkholderiales; Alcaligenaceae
Also listed under: 1 other name
Description: Achromobacter sp. LMG 30378 tRNA-Ala
Source: RNAcentral
CGGCGUCAUGGUCGAGGUCCAGGAUGGCGGCGUGGCCGCCCGCCUGGACCACGCGCCGGCACACGGCCGCUCCGAUGCCGCUGGCGCCGCC